AUUGAACGCUAGCGGGAUGCCUUACACAUGCAAGUCGAACGGAGUGGCGAACGGGUGAGUACUGUAUCGGAACGUGCCCAGUAGCGGGGGAUACCUACGCGAAAGCGUAGCUAUUACCGCAUCCUUUUGGAGCGGCCUAUAUCGGAUUAGCUAGUUGGUGGGGUAACGGCUCACCAAGGCGACGAUCCGUAGCUGGUUCGAGAGGGCGACCAGCCACACUGGGACUGAGACACGGCCCAGACUCCUACGGGAGGCAGCAGUGGGGAAUUUUGGACAAUGGGGGAAACCCUGAUCCAGCCAUCCCGCGUGUGCGAUGAAGGCCUGCGGGUUGUAAAGCACUUUUGGCAGGAAAGCGGUACCUGCAGAAUAAGCACCGGCUAACUACGUGCCAGCAGCCGCGGUAAUAC
RNAcentral lists this ribosomal RNA (407 nucleotides) under uncultured bacterium. RNAcentral's name for it is "partial 16S ribosomal RNA". It matches the Rfam family "Bacterial small subunit ribosomal RNA", at positions 30 to 526 of the family's 1533-position model. The record is from RNAcentral.